This 253-nucleotide ribosomal RNA is filed under the name uncultured bacterium. Its description in RNAcentral is "partial 16S ribosomal RNA". It matches the Rfam family "Bacterial small subunit ribosomal RNA", at positions 524 to 776 of the family's 1533-position model. The record is from RNAcentral.
GACAGAGGUGGCAAGCGUUGUUCGGAUUUAUUGGGUGUAAAGGGUCCGUAGGCUGUUCGACAAGUCUGGUGUGAAAUCCCAUGGCUCAACCAUGGAACUGCAUUGGAAACUGUCGGACUUGAGUACCGAAGAGGUAAAGGGAAUUCCCGGUGUAAGGGUGAAAUCUGUAGAUAUCGGGAGGAACACCAGUGGCGAAGGCGCUUUACUGGUCGGUAACUGACGCUGAGGGACGAAAGCAAGGGGAGCAAACAGG